UAAAUUAGAGUAAAAAUUAUGCGCGGGCAAAAUUCCCCUCUUCCCUCGCCUUUUCCUUCUCCAAAGGCACGAUUUUCCUUAUCCACAAUUCUUUGUCCAACUCCCAUUUUUCAUCGUGCAAAAGUGCAAUUGGGAGAAUGAAGGCUCAUACUUCGUCAUACGCUUUCAUUUCCUGCUAUAAAAUUUAUAUCUAGUUCAGUAUGUUGUUCGAUCUAUAUUUUCUUACAUGUAUUAGGGUAGUCGGUGUUACCCUCUUCGUUAUAAACCUCCAAAGUAGCCCUAUAACAUUUUUCUACUUCACCUCUACCAUAUCAACCCUCUCCGUCUCCCUCUGAAUCGAUUUGCUUUAUGUAGCUAGGGUUUUGCACUUUUCGAGUAUUUGUUCUAUGUUGUUUGAGAUUUCGUCUUCUAACGAAGCUAUGUGGAGGGGAAACGGACAAGAUAUGUGGAACAAUAGUAACAUAGCACCACCGGGUACUAGCGGAGAAGGACCACAACCGCUGCCGUCGUCAAUGAUGCGGCCACCUCCGGGACCUCCGCCGCAGUCUAUGAUGCAUCCGCCACCUGGUACUAGUUCACGACCGCCGUCUAUGAUGCCUCCGGGUACAAGUGUUGGAGGAGCUAGUGGUUCUAGACCACCUCUACCGCCGCUGUCGUAUACUAUUUUGCCUACUGAGGCUCAGCUUGAAGAGAAAGCGAGGAAAUGGAUGCAGCUUAACUCUAAUCGGUAUAGUGAUAAACGGAAGUUCGGAUUCGUUGAAACGCAGAAGGAAGAUAUGCCGCCGGAACAUGUCCGCAAGAUUAUUAGGUACCUAACAAGCAAUCGACUUACUGGACCAAUUCAAGAUUGGAUCAGAAAUAGAAAUACCAAAUAGCAUUUGCUUGAAUAAGUACAAAAAGAGAUGCUUCAUGGUUUCGGGAUAGCUGUCACGUAGCAAGCAAGUUGUAUUUUGGCAUAAUCCUAUAUGAGCUAGCUUUACUUCCCUAUCCGUUACCCAUGUAACCGGGAAAAGAAGAUGGACAGUUGGCACAUUCUAAUGAGGAUGAGAGCACCCAAAAAAUGUUCUUGUGAUCCUGUCGCGCCGCUGGAAUUGUCUCAUUCUUUGCAUGCCUUUCACCGGGUUUCUCCAUCUGAUGAACUGAACGUGGAAGGUUUCCAUACAUUUUGUGGAGGGUUCUGGAAUUACUUCAGCAUGGGGAUAGAUGCACAAGUAUCUUAUGUAUUUCACUCGGAGAGAAAAAUGAACCCUGACAAAUUCAAAAACCAACUUGUCAAUCAGCCUGGUUGGAGUGCUGAUUAUUUUCAUGAAAAUUUGAUUGCUUCCCAUCAUGUAAAUGAAGUACAAGAUCAGUUGCACUACUACUAAACCCAAGAUAACACCUGUUGCAGUGCCAAUAAAUUGGGCCAUUCCUAGCAGAGCAUAGAUAAACCAGCAGAAGGAGGACACGACAACAGCAAAUGACAGGAAAAAUACCAUGUACUCCACACUCUUUUUCCUGAUUACUAAUCUAAUGUUAGACCGAGGAGAUACAUACAUAACGAUGGAGAAGAUGAUGGAAGCAACAAAAAUAUUGUGGCGGAGUUGAACUGCCACCAAUUAUUAUUUUUUAAGUACUAAUUUCAUAUUGUAGUGGUUGAAAACUUCUUCAUAAUUUUCUAAGAAAACAAUUAGUAUUUUAUUGUGGGAAUUAUAGAACACCACAAUAUUUUUUUUGUGACAUUGUGAUCAUAUUGCGGGGUUUUAUAAACUCCUGCAGUAUUUUUUUUUUGAAACAUUCAUAUUAUAUUGCGAGAGUUUUAAAUUGUCACUUAUUAACUUUAAAAA
Molecule: RNA transcript, 1826 nt
Organism: Capsicum annuum
Lineage: Eukaryota; Viridiplantae; Streptophyta; Magnoliopsida; Solanales; Solanaceae
Gene name: pre-mRNA-processing-splicing factor 8A-like
Exons: 6
Source: RefSeq, a predicted model, not a curated record